RNAcentral lists this non-coding RNA (21 nucleotides) under Mus musculus (house mouse). The record is from RNAcentral. Lineage: Eukaryota; Metazoa; Chordata; Mammalia; Rodentia; Muridae.
UUGUGGUAUAUACUGAUGGAU